This 330-nucleotide ribosomal RNA is filed under the name uncultured bacterium. RNAcentral's name for it is "bacterial SSU rRNA". It matches the Rfam family "Bacterial small subunit ribosomal RNA", at positions 568 to 898 of the family's 1533-position model. The record is from RNAcentral.
CGCGUAGGUGGUAGUGCAAGUCUGAGGUGGAAUCUUAGGGCUUAACCCUAAAAUUGCCUUGGAAACCGCAUUACUUGAGUCAGUGAGGGGAGGGUAGAAUUCCUGGUGUAGCGGUGAAAUGCGUAGAUAUCAGGAGGAAGGCCGGUGGCGAAGGCGGCCCUCUGGCGCUGAACUGACACUGAGGCGCGAAAGCGUGGGGAGCAAACAGGAUUAGAUACCCUGGUAGUCCACGCCCUAAACGGUGGGUACUAGGUGUAGGGCUCGUAAGGGUUCUGUGCCGAAGCGAAAGCAUUAAGUACCCCGCCUGGGGAGUACGGCCGCAAGGUUGAA